RNAcentral lists this microRNA (18 nucleotides) under Gallus gallus (chicken). RNAcentral describes it as "microRNA Ros-gga". Lineage: Eukaryota; Metazoa; Chordata; Aves; Galliformes; Phasianidae. The record is from RNAcentral.
CCGCCGCGCCCUCCCCCG